This 528-nucleotide ribosomal RNA is filed under the name Starmerella bacillaris. Its description in RNAcentral is "LSU rRNA". It matches the Rfam family "Eukaryotic large subunit ribosomal RNA", at positions 37 to 668 of the family's 3401-position model. Lineage: Eukaryota; Fungi; Ascomycota; Dipodascomycetes; Dipodascales; Trichomonascaceae. The record is from RNAcentral.
UGCAUAUCAAUAAGCGGAGGAAAAGAAACCAACAGGGAUUGCCCUAGUAACGGCGAGUGAACAGGCAAGAGCUCAGAUUUGAAAGGCACUUUUGUGCCGUUGUAUUCUGAAGUUAGGGUCCUGAGAAACGAUGCUUAAGUCUUCUGGAAAGGAGCGCCAUGGAGGGUGAUAGCCCCGUCUAGCAUUGACCUCAUAUAGGAUCUUAACAUGGAGUCGAGUUGUUUGGGAAUGCAGCUCAAAUGGGUGGUAUGCUCCAUCUAAAGCUAAAUAUCUGCGAGAGACCGAUAGUAAACAAGUACUGUGAGGGAAAGAUGAAAAGAACUUUGAAAAGAGAGUGAAAAAGUACGUGAAAUUGUUGAAAUGGAAGGGUAGGCCGCUAACCAUGUAGAGCCGUGUUUGGGGGGAAGAUAAAUGCUGUAGAAUGUAGCUCCUCGGAGUAUUAUAGAUGCAGUUCAUAUUCCCAUCCGAGCGCGAGGAUCUCAGGUUCUACUAAAUGGUGGUCUACCACCCGUCUUGAAACACGGACCA